RNAcentral lists this long non-coding RNA (213 nucleotides) under Elaeis guineensis (African oil palm). RNAcentral describes it as "long non-coding RNA (EGUI_LNC056613)". The record is from RNAcentral. Lineage: Eukaryota; Viridiplantae; Streptophyta; Magnoliopsida; Arecales; Arecaceae.
GAGACACUGGUAUGGCAUACAGGUGAGAUGUAAUGGUACAUCUGCACUGAACGUGACCAACUCCGGAGCUAUUUCUGCUGUCAAGAUUUGCUCCGAUGGGAUAUGGGUAUAAAUGUCCCUCUGACCUGAGACCGCAAUGGUGACUUGCAAGCAACUCACUGCACUUAGGCACUGGACUACCUGAAUUUCUAAUUCAAUGACGGAAGGCUGCUG